Molecule: long non-coding RNA, 1171 nt
Organism: Eucalyptus grandis
Lineage: Eukaryota; Viridiplantae; Streptophyta; Magnoliopsida; Myrtales; Myrtaceae
Exons: 2
Source: RefSeq, a predicted model, not a curated record
AACUCCGCAACCUUUCUCCCAGGUCAGGUCCAGUGGACCCAUCCACACAGCCUUCGAAUAAAAGCCCGAAAGAGUUCUCCAGUCUCCCGGAGGGUUCGAGCUCUCUCUCGUUGGAGUCGUUUCUGCGUUGGCAGGGUCUGCGCAAGGCUCAGGACAAUGCCCAUUACAAGAGCUGUCUCUUCUGAGUGAAGUGAGUAUGCUUGUGCAAUGGACGUUGCCUUGAGCCUUGCACAAACUUGUCAUCUAUGAUCUUUUCAGAAGUUUAGCAUUCUGGGUUCGCUGAGCCUUGUUAAUGGCUGGUGGAAGUUCGCCAGCCUCAAGGAGCGCUGCUGUCUGACAAGGGAUGCCUUCACCUGUGCUGGCGAGGAACGCCCUCCUUGGCGGGGCGUGGGCCGCCCUCUCCCUAUCUGCCUAUUUGGUGAGGGCAACUCACACCCCUGCCCAGUCUGGUGAAGCCCGGCCCUCACACGAGGCUGAUGGAGGUCAUCGGCCAUUGACGAGCAUGAAGAGAGAAAGGAAAAAGAAAAAAAGGAAAAAAAAAAAAAUUACAAAAAUUAUUCACGUGUGUCGACACCUUAUUUUUGUUAGAUAAUCAACUUACCGUUCAGCAACCGCCAUUAGCCGCUGUUUGCUGGAGUUUGCCGUUCCUCAUCUUAGUCGUGUUUACUGAAGAGCCGGCCUCACGUUGGUCUCGGUUUGAUUCUGCUCUUGGCCGAGCAGAUUCGAGGGUGUCGUGACUACUAUUGGGGGAAAUAGAUUUAGAGGUAUUAACCCGUACAUCAUGUGACAGAGGAAAACAGGUUUCGUUCGACAAUUCUUCGAGAAGCCAAGAUUUCGUUCGUCGGUGAAUCGCAAACGAUCUUGUAGCCGACUCGAUUGUCCGUCACAGUACAAACAUUAUAAACCAGGUAGUUUCAAUGGUUUUCCAUUUAGUUUUACUCGGUUUGGCUGUAGAAUUGUUAUCUAGAAUGAUGCCUUCUCCGAUGAUGUGAAAUUGAGCGUGCUGAGAUUUGUCGUUCAAGUGCGGAUAACCCACAUUCGUCAUAGUCUCAAUUUAAUUCGGAAUCUGAGCUCACAAUGGUUAGAAUCUCUCGCUCGACCAAUUGCCCAUAACCUAUUCGAUUAUGUGCCUAUGAGAAUAUGAAUAAAAGUCAGUGCAGGAUUUGCUGGA